GGGUUGUGAGGUUAAGCGACUAAGCGUACACGGUGGAUGCCCUGGCAGUCAGAGGCGAUGAAGGACGUGCUAAUCUGCGAAAAGCGUCGGUAAGGUGAUAUGAACCGUUACAGCCGGCGAUGUCCGAAUGGGGAAACCCAGUGCAAUUCGUUGCACUAUCGUUAACUGAAUACAUAGGUUAACGAGGCGAACCGGGGGAACUGAAACAUCUAAGUACCCCGAGGAAAAGAAAUCAACCGAGAUUCCCCCAGUAGCGGCGAGCGAACGGGGAGCAGCCCAGAGUCUGAAUCAGCUUGUGUGUUAGUGGAACGGUCUGGAAAGUCCGACGGUACAGGGUGAUAGUCCCGUACACCAAAAUGCACAGGUUGUGAACUCGAAGAGUAGGGCGGGACACGUGGUAUCCUGUCUGAAUAUGGGGGGACCAUCCUCCAAGGCUAAAUACUCCUGACUGACCGAUAGUGAACCAGUACCGUGAGGGAAAGGCGAAAAGAACCCCGGCGAGGGGAGUGAAAAAGAACCUGAAACCGUGUACGUACAAGCAGUGGGAGCACCUUCGGGUGUGACUGCGUACCUUUUGUAUAAUGGGUCAGCGACUUAUAUUCUGUAGCAAGGUUAACCGUAUAGGGGAGCCGCAGGGAAACCGAGUCUUAACUGGGCGUUAAGUUGCAGGGUAUAGACCCGAAACCCGGUGAUCUAGCCAUGGGCAGGUUGAAGGUUGGGUAACACUAACUGGAGGACCGAACCGACUAAUGUUGAAAAAUUAGCGGAUGACUUGUGGCUGGGGGUGAAAGGCCAAUCAAACCGGGAGAUAGCUGGUUCUCCCCGAAAGCUAUUUAGGUAGCGCCUCGUGAACUCAUCUUCGGGGGUAGAGCACUGUUUCGGCUAGGGGGUCAUCCCGACUUACCAACCCGAUGCAAACUACGAAUACCGAAGAAUGUUAUCACGGGAGACACACGGCGGGUGCUAACGUCCGUCGUGAAGAGGGAAACAACCCAGACCGCCAGCUAAGGUCCCAAAGUCAUGGUUAAGUGGGAAACGAUGUGGGAAGGCACAGACAGCCAGGAUGUUGGCUUAGAAGCAGCCAUCAUUUAAAGAAAGCGUAAUAGCUCACUGGUCGAGUCGGCCUGCGCGGAAGAUGUAACGGGGCUAAACCAUGCACCGAAGCUGCGGCAGCGACACUAUGUGUUGUUGGGUAGGGGAGCGUUCUGUAAGCCUGCGAAGGUGUGCUGUGAGGCAUGCUGGAGGUAUCAGAAGUGCGAAUGCUGACAUAAGUAACGAUAAAGCGGGUGAAAAGCCCGCUCGCCGGAAGACCAAGGGUUCCUGUCCAACGUUAAUCGGGGCAGGGUGAGUCGACCCCUAAGGCGAGGCCGAAAGGCGUAGUCGAUGGGAAACAGGUUAAUAUUCCUGUACUUGGUGUUACUGCGAAGGGGGGACGGAGAAGGCUAUGUUAGCCGGGCGACGGUUGUCCCGGUUUAAGCAUGUAGGCUG
RNAcentral lists this ribosomal RNA (1488 nucleotides) under Klebsiella pneumoniae. RNAcentral describes it as "partial 23S ribosomal RNA". It matches the Rfam family "Bacterial large subunit ribosomal RNA", at positions 1 to 1527 of the family's 2925-position model. The record is from RNAcentral. Lineage: Bacteria; Pseudomonadati; Pseudomonadota; Gammaproteobacteria; Enterobacterales; Enterobacteriaceae.